GCUGGCUCCGGCAGCACAGGAACUAAAGUCGGAAUGCUACAGAGAAGACUAGCAUGGGCCCUGGGCAAGGAUGACAUGCAAAUCCAUGGAGCCUUCGUGUUUUUA
Molecule: small nuclear RNA, 105 nt
Organism: Phyllostomus discolor (pale spear-nosed bat)
Lineage: Eukaryota; Metazoa; Chordata; Mammalia; Chiroptera; Phyllostomidae
Source: RefSeq, a predicted model, not a curated record